Molecule: ribosomal RNA, 723 nt
Filed under: uncultured bacterium
Lineage: Bacteria
Description: bacterial SSU rRNA
Rfam family: Bacterial small subunit ribosomal RNA
Source: RNAcentral
UUAGAUACCCUGGUAGUCCACGCCGUAAACGAUGAGUACUAGGUGUAGGAGGUAUCGACCCCUUCUGUGCCGCAGUAAACACAAUAAGUACUCCGCCUGGGAAGUACGAUCGCAAGAUUAAAACUCAAAGGAAUUGACGGGGGCCCGCACAAGCAGCGGAGCAUGUGGUUUAAUUCGAAGCAACGCGAAGAACCUUACCUGGACUUGACAUCCCCUGAAUAUCUUAGAGAUAAGAGAAGCCCUUCGGGGCAGGGAGACAGGUGGUGCAUGGUUGUCGUCAGCUCGUGUCGUGAGAUGUUAGGUUAAGUCCUGCAACGAGCGCAACCCCUGUUGUUAGUUGCUAACAGUAAGAUGAGCACUCUAACAAGACUGCCGCGGUUAACGCGGAGGAAGGUGGGGAUGACGUCAAAUCAUCAUGCCCCUUAUGUCCAGGGCAACACACGUGCUACAAUGGGUAGGAACAACGAGACGCAAGACCGCAAGGUGGAGCAAACCUCAAAAACUACUCUCAGUUCGGAUUGCAGGCUGAAACCCGCCUGCAUGAAGCUGGAGUUGCUAGUAAUCGCGAAUCAGCAUGUCGCGGUGAAUACGUUCCCGGGCCUUGUACACACCGCCCGUCACACCAUGAGAGCUGGCAACACCCGAAGUCCGUAGUCUAACGAAAGAGGACGCGGCCGAAGGUGGGGUUAGUGAUUGGGGUGAAGUCGUAACAAGGUAACCGUA